Long non-coding RNA from Felis catus (domestic cat), 680 nucleotides. RefSeq lists it as uncharacterized. The transcript is spliced from 2 exons. The record is from RefSeq and is a predicted model, not a curated record. Lineage: Eukaryota; Metazoa; Chordata; Mammalia; Carnivora; Felidae.
CACUCCUGGCCUUCCUCACUCAUUAACCCGAUCCCUAGAUAAGCGGGAUGGAUUAUCUGAUUGGCACAUUCAGGUAAUUUGGCGAGGUAGGCUUUGCCCUUGUUCCUUCAGGGAGCCCCGCGGGGGGCGCCAGUCCCUGGCCCCUCCCACGGCUCUGCACCUGCCCCUUCCAGCGUUGCAUGGCUGCGGGACCCCUUUGCUUUUGGGGUUCAGAAGCCCAGCUGAUGGUCCAUACACAAGCAACCUGGCCUCUCUCCAGACACUGACGUCUGAUGUGUUUUACACGGACAGCGCGUCUCCAGUGGCCACCGCCUGCCGUGUGGGACGGUGCGCGUACAGGCGGACGAAUGGGGACUUAGACAUGACCGUGCCCGUUUGCCUGACAUCGCGCAGCCGCGGCCCUCCGGGCCGGCGUGACACGGAGUGUACUGAUCGCGAUUGUACUUUAUUUUUAGGCUCCUUCCGAAACAGUCCUUAUCUCAAGGAGGUAUUUUCGUUUUCCAGUUUCCUAAAUGUGUUUCUAGAUACCCUGGACAGGGGAGAGUGGGAGAGACAGGACCGGAAGUAAUUGAGAUUUCUCAGCCAGCGGCCCCGUGCUGGCGGUUGGUAUGUGCUGGUCCACUUAUCUCAAGGGCCAAAUGCCCUUCAGGAUCGAGAGGAAGCAUAAAGAAUUGUCUUUC